AGUACACGCUGUGACUAGCAUAUCAAUAAGCGGAGGAAAAGAAACUAACAAGGAUUCCCCUAGUAACGGCGAGUGAAGCGGGAAGAGCUCAAAUUUGAAAUCUUAAAGGGUUUCCCUUUACGAAUUGUAGUUUAAAGAAGUGUUUUCUGUUGAGGUUUUGGUAAAAGUUCUUUGGAAUAGGACAUCAUAGAGGGUGAGAAUCCCGUAUUUGACCUUUACUUUCAACUUUGUGAUACACUUUCAAAGAGUCGGAUUGUUUGGGAAUGCAGUCCAAAAUGGGUGGUAAAUUUCAUCUAAAGCUAAAUAUUGGCGAGAGACCGAUAGCGAACAAGUACCGUGAGGGAAAGAUGAAAAGAACUUUGAAAAGAGAGUUAAACAGUACGUGAAAUUGUCAAAAGGGAAGCGUUUGACACCAGUGUUGUUUUUCUGAAAAUCAAUUAAAGAACUGUUCAUGCUAAGCUGUUUAGACUUUAUCAGCUAUCUGUUUAGUUUUGAGCUUUUCUUUUAAUGCACUUUUCAGUUAACAAGUCAACAUCAAUUUCUUUUGCUGUAAAAAAGCUUGAGGAAGGUGGCUUGAGAUUCGUCUUAAGUGUUUAUAGCCUCUUGCCUAUGCAGUCGGAGAGAUUGAGGUCUGCAGCGUAGAUCCUUCGGGGCUAAAUGCAUUUGUGCUAAGUUAUAGCAUUUUAUAGACAACUUGUUGACUAUGAUUUGUCUUGUAGCUUACUCGCUUAUGUUAUUUUACCUACGCUUAGGAUGUUGAUAUGCAUGACUGAUAU
RNAcentral lists this ribosomal RNA (776 nucleotides) under uncultured Neocallimastigales. RNAcentral describes it as "partial large subunit ribosomal RNA". It matches the Rfam family "Eukaryotic large subunit ribosomal RNA", at positions 20 to 640 of the family's 3401-position model. The record is from RNAcentral. Lineage: Eukaryota; Fungi; Neocallimastigomycota; Neocallimastigomycetes; Neocallimastigales.